AGUGAACGCUGGCGGUAGGCCUAACACAUGCAAGUCGAACGGCAGCACAGUAAGAGCUUGCUCUUACGGGUGGCGAGUGGCGGACGGGUGAGGAAUACAUCGGAAUCUACUUUUUCGUGGGGGAUAACGUAGGGAAACUUACGCUAAUACCGCAUACGACCUACGGGUGAAAGCAGGGGAUCUUCGGACCUUGCGCGAUUGAAUGAGCCGAUGUCGGAUUAGCUAGUUGGCGGGGUAAAGGCCCACCAAGGCGACGAUCCGUAGCUGGUCUGAGAGGAUGAUCAGCCACACUGGAACUGAGACACGGUCCAGACUCCUACGGGAGGCAGCAGUGGGGAAUAUUGGACAGUGGGCGCAAGCCUGAUCCAGCCAUACUGCGUGGGUGAAGAAGGCCUUCGGGUUGUAAAGCCCUUUUGUUGGGAAAGAAAAGCAGCAGGUUAAUACCCCGCUGUUCUGACGGUACCCAAAGAAUAAGCACCGGCUAACUUCGUG
Molecule: ribosomal RNA, 492 nt
Filed under: uncultured bacterium
Lineage: Bacteria
Description: partial 16S ribosomal RNA
Rfam family: Bacterial small subunit ribosomal RNA
Source: RNAcentral